RNAcentral lists this long non-coding RNA (2388 nucleotides) under Marmota monax (woodchuck). The record is from RNAcentral. Lineage: Eukaryota; Metazoa; Chordata; Mammalia; Rodentia; Sciuridae.
AGCCACACACCCACCUCCACUACACCCCAUGACUCUGACUUCCACAGAUGUUCAUAGCAGGGUGCAGGACAGGUGGUUCCUGCCAGACCCAGAGCAUGUCAGGGUUCUGGUCAUUUGGGGGACUUUCGAAGGAGGGCCAGACAAACUGAUCUAUCUCCCUGCAGCACCAGCUGAGUCACAGAGCAGGAAGUAACUAGUUAAAGUUGCUGCUGGCUUUCCCCGAGCCACACCCUCACCUUUACCAUUGCCAUUGGCCUGUGUCCCUGGUCCAGUGAAGGGGUCAUUCUUCUCCAGUUCGGUGAGUUGGUGGUUUAUUCCUAGUCCUUAUUCCUAGACUCAGACCAAAAUUGGCAGGUAGCUGAGCCAGUGCCAUGGGGUUGCCCUCAUGGACUGUCUGACCACAUGGCAGAACCCCAGCCAACACACAGGUUCCCUAGGGCCCCCGCAUGAACUUUCAUUUCUGGGAAGAAAUCUUCCCUGGCCUCUUAACCCACAGUGACCUCCCUCACCAUGAACUUGGGGCUCCCACGAAACAUUCCCCACCUCUGAGACUCCCCACGCUUUCAACACCUUCUACCCAUAUGAUCAUCAUUAUUGCAUUCUGUUCAUAUGUAAGGAAGAUAUUAACUUUCAGGACAUGCAUCUCAUCUCCCAUCACCCAACACCCCAAGUGCCUGGAACAGCAGACUCCACUGGCCCAGCUGUUCCUCCAGGGCAGGGAUGCUGUCCUGGCCGAAAGUUCAAGGGGGCUCCGGCCAUUUUGGUCAUGUCCCUUUGUGGAAAGACAGAGGCCACUGGUCUCGAUUGCAUAGUUAAACAGUAAGGUCCUGGAAGUGAUUUCCUGGAGAUGAGGUCCCCUAGAAGCCCGUUGGAAGUGAUAUUACUUCCCUGGGCCCUGGGUAUGGCAAUAAUAAGCACCCACUGUGUGUCAGGCCCUGCAAGAGCCAGUAUUGUCUCCUUCAUCCUUCACCUUGAUCCUGGGUGGGAUCCUGGUGGGCUCUACAGACAGGGAAAACCCAGGGACUUUUAAGUGUGGAUCCCAACGCACACAUGGCCACCUCCAAAGUCCACACUCACUCCAUGGGGCAUGCUGCCCUUGCGGUCUGGAUCCCAGACCCUCCUGGCUAAGAUGGGACUGACCACUAGGGAGCACCCACAGGGUGAGGAUUCGCAGAGCAGAAGACCCCUCUCCUCACCUGCUUCCCUUUCAUAUCACCCCUAUGCAGGACCCUGUCUUGGUCUGCAGGAUUAGGGUUGACCAGGCUCCGAGGUGGGUGGCAAGAGUCUGAAGACAAGGGCUCAGCUCCUGUAUUCCCUGCCCCAGCUCCUGAAGGGCCCAUCAGGAUGGGAUCCUGCCACUUCUCAGGCCCUCGGGUCCUCCUGCCUCCCCACUGUGGGUGUUGGGCACAGACCCAGGGAAGGCUUGGCAUACGUAGAAGGCUCAUGGCCCAGUCAUGCAAGAGUGAAGCACCAGGGUCUGCAGAGCAGAGGAAGGGACAUCUGUUGGAGGCUGCAGAUACCUCAGGGGCACUUUACACUCCUCCCUGUCCCCUCCCUGCCCCUCCCCUUCGCCUUCCCCAGACUCCUUGCCAAGACAUUCCUGGGGAAGGGGAAAGGUGCACAGCCCCUGUCCUCCACCUGGAGAGACAGUGAGGUCAACUCCUCAGUAUGGCAAUUUUGGAGGUCAGAGGAGGAGGAAGUGGCUGUCCUUCCCUGUUCCUCCAUUCCUAGUACAUUGGCCCAGAGAGGUUGUAGAAACCCAAAGCUACACAGGAAGUCAGAGGUAGAAGCAACUCCGCCCCCAGCCAGCUGGGUUUUCACAAGCAACCCUGAGCAUGCCCAGAGGCCUCCGGUCUGCAGAGGGAGGCUGCAGCGUCUCCCUGCCGAGAGCACUGGGAACUGGAGCUUUGCAUGCAUCCUCCUUCAGGCCCUCCACAAUGGCCCCAGGAGCCAGGCCCUGUCAUCAUCCCAUUCUACAGCUGAGGACAUUGAAGGCUGGCCAACAGGGAGGGCAGGAUGAACCAGGCAGCUUGGCUCUAGGACCCAGAGGCCAGAUGGCUCCUGUGUAGUGGGUGCUUUCCAGCAGUUCCCCUGAACUGUAGGGCCCUCAUGUUCAGCGGCCGCCAAAGACAGUCCCAGGGCUCCUUGUCCCUCAUAGACCAACCUGCAUUCAGGGCCACAGUAGGUCCUCCAAGGGCUCACUGCCUCCAGAGGUGGGGUCAUGAUAUGACCAGAAAGACAUUUUGAAAGAGAGAAAAGUCCUUGCUGUGCAGACCUGAGGGAACUGUUAAAUGCAGGAAUUCUGUUGCCCUGGGAGACAGGGUACUCUCCCCAACUGUUUGGAACCAGCCAGAAAGCCAAUGGUGAGGCUUGGAAUGUUCACCUGGG